RNAcentral lists this transfer RNA (23 nucleotides) under Rastrelliger kanagurta (Indian mackerel). Its description in RNAcentral is "partial tRNA-Thr". Lineage: Eukaryota; Metazoa; Chordata; Actinopteri; Scombriformes; Scombridae. The record is from RNAcentral.
CGGAGUUAAAUCCUCCCUUUUGC